AAAGGAGGAUUUAACACUAAAAAUCUCUUUAUUGUGUCCAUUGGAACUUGGGUAAGAUUUCUAUAAUCUUGUAAUUGAAUUUUUGGUUAGGAUUAGUGAAUAUUGAAUUUAGGGUUCCUGAUCCAAUUUGGGGUUUUGUUAAAUUGAAGUUAGACUUGAUAAAUUAAGUCAUAAUAUGUUAUUUUUCAUUAGGUUGGCUCAUUGGAUAGUACUUGACGCGUGUUGGUUAAACUUGUGAAGUUUGUGGCUACAAGAGGUCAGGAAAAUGUUCAGGAUCUGCUGUGGGAGGCAUGACAGUGUGGUGUAGCCCUUGUUUACUAGAUAUCUGUUUCCUUACCUUUAGUUAGGAUUGUUAAACGUUUUAAAUUGUUGAACUUUAUGUAUGACUCAGUCACCUUUGACUUGAGCUAUUGUUUUGUUUCCGUUGUGAUAUUGACCACUGAGGUCUAGCAUUCUGAUUAA
Tripterygium wilfordii is the source of this 462-nucleotide long non-coding RNA. RefSeq lists it as uncharacterized. The transcript is spliced from 2 exons. NCBI's taxonomy places the organism in Eukaryota, Viridiplantae, Streptophyta, Magnoliopsida, Celastrales, Celastraceae. The record is from RefSeq and is a predicted model, not a curated record.